Chinchilla lanigera (long-tailed chinchilla) is the source of this 2190-nucleotide long non-coding RNA. RefSeq lists it as uncharacterized. The transcript has 5 exons. The record is from RefSeq and is a predicted model, not a curated record. Lineage: Eukaryota; Metazoa; Chordata; Mammalia; Rodentia; Chinchillidae.
CAGGUUGGAGACAGAUCUGAAAAUCCUCCUGGAAUAAACAGGACACAGUGGGGGGCUCUGGGCCCCAUCUCUAGGUAACAAACCAGAUCUCACAGUGACCCUGGCACCCUUGGCAGUAGGCACAGGUCCUGGCCUGUCCUAACACCCCACCCCAUGUAUGCUGGCUGCAGGUGCCCGGCACCACCCAUGCAGCUCACAGCACUCCCCGGCACUUCCUUCAGGAAAGGUGACUGUCUGAGAGCCGUCAGUGCAGUGCUCAUCACCUGGUUUCCAAGGUCUCAGGUAUGGCCAUGUCGCCAGGAGCACAGGAACUUGGCUGGGAGUCUCAACUCAGUCCCCAUCAUCGCCUCCUUCCAACGCAUCCCUCUGGCUGAAUGUCAUUGGGGUCACCUCAGGCUAUGGAGCACAGCCUUCUGCAGACGCCUACACAGCAAACACAACUGAGGCCCAGUGGAGGUGAAAGGGCUUCUUCAUAUCAUCUCUGGAGGUGGCCUAGACUGGAAACUAUCACUGCAGGUGCUGCAGUACCUGGGUGACGCCUUGCUGAAAAUGAGCACAGGUUACACCUAGAUCUUGUGCCAAGGAGAUGUUCUGCUGUGGCACAAGCUGGCUUCUCGGAAUCACGGCCAAAUCCAGGGCAGCACCAGUGAAAGCGCAAGCUGAGCCCAGAGCAUCCAGCAGCGCCGGGAAGCAAGGAAGUGUUCCGAAAUGCUAAGAACACAUCCAAAGGCCGCGGGAGUCAGUCUGCCAGCAUCAAAUCAUCAACAACAGUAAUGGCAUAGAACUCAUUGGAUAUAGGAAAAACCUACCAACCCACCCUGGGUGGUGGAACCUCCUGGAACACUGGCAAGCAGAGAGAGACGCAGAGCCUCAGGCUGGCGGCACCUCCCCCCCAUUUGGGGUCUUUUCUUUUAUCCUCAAUAGCUUUUGCAUUCUGCAAGCCCAAGGAGUUAAAAACUGUGUGGACCCCUCCACAUGUCACCACCAGUACCCUCCCUUCGAGCACUGGCCUGAGCUGCACUGAGCCACAGGAGUCACCGCUGGGACAGCCAAGGAGCGUGUCACCAGAACAUGAGGAGCAGAAUCCUACAACAGGCGAAUGGGGCUGCUAUGUGUGCCCCAAAGCACUCUAGCCACUCUGCCUGCAACGAGCUAGCUCUCCGAGCACGGGAAGGGGGCAGCCUCAGAGAUCCCUGAAAUGCUUUCGAUGGCUUUCUCCCAUUGACUUGGUGACUGGCACUCAGCUUCCUUCCGUCCCUGUUAAUCUCCUUAGCAAACGCGGCCUAGCCACACCCUUGGAUUUCUCUCCUAAACACGCUGCUAUUUCAUUCUUUUGUGGAGCCAGGCUGUGGUUUUCCAAAUCCUUACUGUCUGCUCGCUUUUUAAUUAUAAAUUCCAUCUUUAAAUCAUUUCUCAUUUCAUGUAUUUUACUCCAUGCAUUGAAAAGAAGCCCUGCAUCUCUUUGACUGCUUUGCAGCUUAGCUAUUUCCUACUAUGGGCCUGGGUUCUGUUGCUCACAGUCACCGCAAACCUCCCCCUAUCCACUCAGCUCAGAAAUUGCACUGUGUUGAAGAAACACCUGAAAAACCCUGCUAAAGGACUCGCUGGGUCCCUGUGACUGCUGGCGAGUAGACCCUCUAGCUUCACUUGCGUUUGGAUGUUUGCUUUCUCACCACCUCUAUGGCACAGAUGUAGCUCAGUUGUAAAAUGCUUGCCUAAUGCGCGGAAGGCUCUGAGUCCAUAUCCCCAGCACCACCACAAAAAAAAUUCUGGAGGUCGUGUAACUGAGCAGCUUUGCUGAAAACAACGCCUCUGACACACGGAGAGCUGUGGCAAAGGCAACCUAAAUUGUUUUUUGGGAACUUGGAGGUAGCUCAGACCAGUUGGAACCACCCACCCUUCACUUGGGCCUGUGCGAGUGGCCUACAGGUGACAUUUUGUUGCCAGAGCACCUCAAAUUCCACUCUCAGAAUGUGCUUAUGCUGCCACUUCCUGAGCACACAUGCUAUGCAGAGCCAUGCAGUGUGAUUGUGCAUGCACAGAUAUGAGCUCUUCCUUUUUCCUUUCCCUACACCUAUGACUACCUUGCUUAUUUGUCCCACGAAUACCCCUAAGUGCUAUCCUCAGGGAGGUGGCUCCCGCCUCCAUAUGCUUGGCUGCCUUGUAAAUAAAUUCUUUCUCUUUUGCAAA